RNAcentral lists this ribosomal RNA (628 nucleotides) under uncultured fungus. RNAcentral describes it as "eukaryotic LSU rRNA". The stretch from base 237 to 390 matches the Rfam family "5.8S ribosomal RNA". Lineage: Eukaryota; Fungi. The record is from RNAcentral.
AGUAAAAGUCGUAACAAGGUCUCCGUUGGUGAACCAGCGGAGGGAUCAUUACCGAGUUUACAACUCCCAAACCCAAUGUGAACCAUACCAAACUGUUGCCUCGGCGGGGUCACGCCCCGGGUGCGUCGCAGCCCCGGAACCAGGCGCCCGCCGGAGGGACCAACCAAACUCUUUUCUGUAGUCCCCUCGCGGACGUUAUUUCUUACAGCUCUGAGCAAAAAUUCAAAAUGAAUCAAAACUUUCAACAACGGAUCUCUUGGUUCUGGCAUCGAUGAAGAACGCAGCGAAAUGCGAUAAGUAAUGUGAAUUGCAGAAUUCAGUGAAUCAUCGAAUCUUUGAACGCACAUUGCGCCCGCCAGUAUUCUGGCGGGCAUGCCUGUCCGAGCGUCAUUUCAACCCUCGAACCCCUCCGGGGGGUCGGCGUUGGGGACCUCGGGAGCCCCUAAGACGGGAUCCCGGCCCCGAAAUACAGUGGCGGUCUCGCCGCAGCCUCUCCUGCGCAGUAGUUUGCACAACUCGCACCGGGAGCGCGGCGCGUCCACGUCCGUAAAACACCCAACUUCUGAAAUGUUGACCUCGGAUCAGGUAGGAAUACCCGCUGAACUUAAGCAUAUCAAUAAGCGGAGGA